This is a long non-coding RNA of Lingula anatina, 301 nucleotides long. Lineage: Eukaryota; Metazoa; Brachiopoda; Lingulata; Lingulida; Lingulidae. The record is from RefSeq and is a predicted model, not a curated record.
UAUAAAGAGGAGUUUCCGAGAGGUCAGGAAAAAAUGGCAUGACCUCACGUCUCGCACUAAGCGCAAAGAGGCCAAACGCCGUGCAGCAGUGCGGCAGACAGGUGAUGGUGUGGGGCCCAGUCCACUGUCAGAGUGGGAGAAGAAGAUGUAAGUGAAAGGCUCUACAACCUAGAGAAGGAUUGCUUAGCAUUAGAGGAGGAGAGGUUGAAAGUAGAAAAAGUGCGUUUACAGUAAGAAAGGGAGAGAUUAGAAAUUGACAAAAGUAACAAAGUGGUAUUUGAAAAAAUAACAGAAUACUGUG